RNAcentral lists this unclassified non-coding RNA (560 nucleotides) under Aspergillus creber. RNAcentral describes it as "sequence contains ITS1, 5.8S rRNA gene, ITS2". The stretch from base 119 to 272 matches the Rfam family "5.8S ribosomal RNA". Lineage: Eukaryota; Fungi; Ascomycota; Eurotiomycetes; Eurotiales; Aspergillaceae. The record is from RNAcentral.
CUUGACUACCUAACACUGUUGCUUCGGCGGGGAGCCCUCUCGGGGGCGAGCCGCCGGGGACUACUGAACUUCAUGCCUGAGAGUGAUGCAGUCUGAGUCUGAAUAUAAAAUCAGUCAAAACUUUCAACAAUGGAUCUCUUGGUUCCGGCAUCGAUGAAGAACGCAGCGAACUGCGAUAAGUAAUGUGAAUUGCAGAAUUCAGUGAAUCAUCGAGUCUUUGAACGCACAUUGCGCCCCCUGGCAUUCCGGGGGGCAUGCCUGUCCGAGCGUCAUUGCUGCCCAUCAAGCCCGGCUUGUGUGUUGGGUCGUCGUCCCCCCCGGGGGACGGGCCCGAAAGGCAGCGGCGGCACCGUGUCCGGUCCUCGAGCGUAUGGGGCUUUGUCACCCGCUCGAUUAGGGCCGGCCGGGCGCCAGCCGACGUCUCCAACCAUUUUUUUCAGGUUGACCUCGGAUCAGGUAGGGAUACCCGCUGAACUUAAGCAUAUCAAUAAGCGGAGGAAAAGAAACCAACCGGGAUUGCCCCAGUAACGGCGAGUGAAGCGGCAAGAGCUCAAUUUGAA